Molecule: ribosomal RNA, 914 nt
Filed under: uncultured archaeon
Lineage: Archaea
Description: bacterial SSU rRNA
Rfam family: Archaeal small subunit ribosomal RNA
Source: RNAcentral
UUCCGGUUGAUCCUGCCGGACCUGACUGCUAUCGGAUUGAUACUAAGCCAUGCGAGUCAUUGUAGCAAUACAAGGCAUACGGCUCAGUAACGCGUAGUCAACCUAACCUAUGGACGGGAAUAACCUCGGGAAACUGAGAAUAAUGCCCGAUAGAACACUAUACCUGGAAUGGUUUGUGUUCCAAAUGAUUUAUCGCCGUAGGAUGGGACUGCGGCCUAUCAGUUUGUUGGUGAGGUAAUGGCCCACCAAGACUAUUACAGGUACGGGCUCUGAGAGGAGUAGCCCGGAGAUGGGUACUGAGACACGGACCCAGGCCCUAUGGGGCGCAGCAGGCGAGAAAACUUUGCAAUGUGCGGAAGCACGACAAGGUUAAUCCGAGUGGUUUCUGCUAAAGGAACCUUUUGUUAGUCCUAGAAACACUAACGAAUAAGGGGUGGGCAAGUUCUGGUGUCAGCCGCCGCGGUAAAACCAGCACCUCAAGUGGUCAGGAUGAUUAUUGGGCCUAAAGCAUCCGUAGCCGGCUCUGUAAGUUUUCGGUUAAAUCUGUACGCUCAACGUACAGGCUGCCGGGAAUACUGCAGAGCUAGGGAGUGGGAGAGGUAGACGGUACUCGGUAGGAAGGGGUAAAAUCCUUUGAUCUAUUGAUGACCACCUGUGGCGAAGGCGGUCUACCAGAACACGUCCGACGGUGAGGGAUGAAAGCUGGGGGAGCAAACCGGAUUAGAUACCCGGGUAGUCCCAGCUGUAAACUAUGCAAACUCAGUGAUGCAUUGGCUUGUGGCCAAUGCAGUGCUGCAGGGAAGCCGUUAAGUUUGCCGCCUGGGAAGUACGUACGCAAGUAUGAAACUUAAAGGAAUUGGCGGGGGAGCACCACAAGGGGUGAAGCCUGCGGUUCAAUUGGAUUCAACGCCGGA